Molecule: ribosomal RNA, 442 nt
Filed under: uncultured bacterium
Lineage: Bacteria
Description: partial 16S ribosomal RNA
Rfam family: Bacterial small subunit ribosomal RNA
Source: RNAcentral
CCUACGGGAGGCAGCAGUGGGGAAUAUUGGGCAAUGGGCGCAAGCCUGACCCAGCAACGCCGCGUGAAGGAAGAAGGCUUUCGGGUUGUAAACUUCUUGUAAGAGGGAAGAGCAGAAGACGGUAUCUCUUGAAGAAGCCACGGCUAACUACGUGCCAGCAGCCGCGGUAAAACGUAGGUGGCAAGCGUUGUCCGGAGUUACUGGGGGUAAAGGGCGUGUAGCCGGGCUGACAAGUCAGAUGUGAAAUUCCGGGGCUCAACCCCGGACCUGCAUUUGAAACUGUUGGUCUUGAGGAGCGGAGAGGCAGGCGGAAUUCCUAGUGUAGCGGUGAAAUGCGUAGAUAUUAGGAGGAACACCAGUGGCGAAGGCGGCCUGCUGGACGACAACUGACGGUGAGGCGCGAAAGCGUGGGGAGCAAACAGGAUUAGAUACCCUGGUAGUC